GGAUGAACGCUGGCGGCGUGCCUAAUACAUGCAAGUCGAGCGAACAGACGAGGAGCUUGCUCCUCUGACGUUCGCGGCGGACGGGUGAGUAACACGUGGAUAACCUACCUAUAAGACUGGGAUAACUUCGGGAAACCGGAGCUAAUACCGGAUAAUAUAUUGAACCGCAUGGUUCAAUAGUGAAAGACGGUUUUGCUGUCACUUAUAGAUGGAUCCGCGCCGCAUUAGCUAGUUGGUAAGGUAACGGCUUACCAAGGCAACGAUGCGUAGCCGACCUGAGAGGGUGAUCGGCCACACUGGAACUUAGACACGGUCCAGACUCCUACGGGAGGCAGCAGUAGGGAAUCUUCCGCAAUGGGCGAAAGCCUGACGGAGCAACGCCGCGUGAGUGAUGAAGGUCUUCGGAUCGUAAAACUCUGUUAUUAGGGAAGAACAAAUGUGUAAGUAACUAUGCACGUCUUGACGGUACCUAAUCAGAAAGCCACGGCUAACUACGUG
RNAcentral lists this ribosomal RNA (498 nucleotides) under uncultured bacterium. RNAcentral describes it as "partial 16S ribosomal RNA". It matches the Rfam family "Bacterial small subunit ribosomal RNA", at positions 27 to 507 of the family's 1533-position model. The record is from RNAcentral.